UUGCGGAGACAGGAUUUG
This 18-nucleotide transfer RNA is filed under the name Agave shawii. RNAcentral's name for it is "partial tRNA-Met". Lineage: Eukaryota; Viridiplantae; Streptophyta; Magnoliopsida; Asparagales; Asparagaceae. The record is from RNAcentral. RNAcentral also lists the same sequence under 2 other names.